ACUCAAAGGAAUAGACGGGGACCCGCACAAGCAGCGGAGCGUGUGGUUUAAUUCGAUGCGACGCGAAGAACCUUACCAGGGCUUGACAUGCAGGCGCACCGCCCAGCGAUGGGCGUGCCCGCAAGGGACGCUUGCACAGGUGCUGCAUGGCUGUCGUCAGCUCGUGCCGUGAGGUGUUGGGUUAAGUCCCCCAACGAGCGCAACCCCUAUCGUUGGUUGUCUGUUUCCAGCGAAACUGCCCGCAAGGGAGGAAGGAGGGGAUGACGUCAAGUCAGCACGGCCCUUACGUCCUGGGCUACACACACGCUACAAUGGCUGGUACAAUGGGUCGCCAAGCGGCAACGCGGAGCCAAUCCCAGCAAAGCCAGCCUCAGUUCAGAUUGGCGGCUGCAACCCGCCGCCAUGAAGGUGGAGUUGCUAGUAACCGCAGGUCAGCACACUGCGGUGAAUACGUUCCCGGGUCUUGUACACACCGCCCGU
This 480-nucleotide ribosomal RNA is filed under the name uncultured bacterium. RNAcentral describes it as "partial 16S ribosomal RNA". It matches the Rfam family "Bacterial small subunit ribosomal RNA", at positions 899 to 1397 of the family's 1533-position model. The record is from RNAcentral.